Chlorocebus sabaeus (green monkey) is the source of this 107-nucleotide small nuclear RNA. Lineage: Eukaryota; Metazoa; Chordata; Mammalia; Primates; Cercopithecidae. The record is from Ensembl.
GUGCUCGCUUCGGCAGCACGUAUACUAAAAUUGGAACGAUACAGACUAGAUUAGCAUGGCCCCUGUGCAAGGAUGACAUGCAAAUUCGUGAAGCAUUCCAUGUUAAA